This is a long non-coding RNA of Myotis brandtii (Brandt's bat), 396 nucleotides long. RefSeq lists it as uncharacterized. The transcript is spliced from 4 exons. Lineage: Eukaryota; Metazoa; Chordata; Mammalia; Chiroptera; Vespertilionidae. The record is from RefSeq and is a predicted model, not a curated record.
CGGCCACAUGAAACCGAAGUCACCGUGCCCUGCAAGCUGAGGAGCACCAGGCAGUUACAGGCACCAUCAAUUCCUUUAGCAGAACUGGGACUGGCUUCCUGACCCACAGGAGGUGACUAUCCGUAAGCUCAGGCUGCAUGGCAAAUACAGAAAGAGUAUCCUCUUUUACUCAAGGUAACCAGCCUCGCCAACUAUUUCAUCACUUCUUCCCGAGCCCUCCUCCUUGGGUAGCCUGGUGAACUUCCACUUCUGAGAUCAUUUUAAAGGAACCUGGCCCAGCCAAGUUAAUUUCUUUCUAUCCUUCCCUGCUUUCUCAUGGAUCAAGAUCAUUUUUUCUUGUUAUUAUGAAACAAGUAAUUUUCUUAGACUUCUUUGUCUAAAAAAAAAUAAAAAAUA